AGGAUAUCACCAAUAUGACUCAAAGGAAGAAAAACAAAUUGUUCUCUUAGAGUUAAAACCAUUUGUGAGACAAUGUUGUUCCCUGUCAAUCAAAUGCUAGCAUGAUGGAUAAGUUCAUGCGCAGAAGUUGAAUGCAGUAUUUGCAUGCUGCAACUCAGCCUGCGACUACAACUCGAGAGCAGACGAACCUUCCUCUAAGUGAAAGUGGCAUUACUAUUUACUCAUCAUCUCUGAAAAGUGGUAGGAAAUUAUGACUGCAGUGAGGGAAAGAUAAUGUUGGUAAUGUGCUCCCCACUAAACCUGACUGUGUCUAAGAUGGUCAUAGUUCCUUCAAAUUUUCAUCAUUUUUAUUAGAGCAGAGAGUGGCAUGAACUAUUUGAUCACAGGUGAAUAGCUGGGAAUCUAACUGAGGAGAAUAGAGAGAACAUCUGAAGCCAAACUGUAUUUACUCCAUGCAGAAAAAGGGAGAACAUUUUAUCCUGGUGAAUUCUGCAACUAACUAUUAUUGGGAAACAGGAAAAAAAGCACAGUGAUAUAGUUUUAACUAGGACCUAACAAAG
Long non-coding RNA from Ochotona princeps (American pika), 560 nucleotides. RefSeq lists it as uncharacterized. Lineage: Eukaryota; Metazoa; Chordata; Mammalia; Lagomorpha; Ochotonidae. The record is from RefSeq and is a predicted model, not a curated record. The transcript has 4 exons.